UUUGGUAAAAGAUUUCAUAAGGAAAAACAACUAGGCACUGAUGCCAUGUAGAAAACACCUAAGAUCUAAGCAAAAAACUAAAUUGUUUGAUGAAGAUAAAAAACUACAUAGAGGGCUAUUUAUAAUAGUAAACUAAACCUAAACUUAUUUAGUGUACAAGUAAAGUAAAUAGCAAAUAAGAAAGUAUUCUAACCCUAUACUUUCUUAGAAUACAUGUAAAGUAAAAAGAAAAGAGGAAAAGAUUACAUAAAGAAAUAUUCU
This 261-nucleotide long non-coding RNA is filed under the name Theobroma cacao (cacao). RNAcentral's name for it is "long non-coding RNA (TCAC_LNC001384)". Lineage: Eukaryota; Viridiplantae; Streptophyta; Magnoliopsida; Malvales; Malvaceae. The record is from RNAcentral.